AUUGAACGCUGGCGGCAGGCCUAACACAUGCAAGUCGAGCGGAUGAGUGGAGCUUGCUCCAUGAUUCAGCGGCGGACGGGUGAGUAAUGCAUAGGAAUCUGCCUGGUAGUGGGGGACAACGUUUCGAAAGGAACGCUAAUACCGCAUACUUCCUACGGGAGAAAGCAGGGGACCUUCGGGCCUUGCGCUAUCAGAUGAGCCUAGGUCGGAUUAGCUAGUAGGUGGGGUAAAGGCUAACCUAGGCGACGAUCCGUAACUGGUCUGAGAGGAUGAUCAGUCACACUGGAACUGAGACACGGUCCAGACUCCUACGGGAGGCAGCAGUGGGGAAUAUUGGACAAUGGGCGAAAGCCUGAUCCAGCCAUGCCGCGUGUGUGUAGAAGGUCUUCGGAUUGUAAAGCACUUUAAGUUGGGAGGAAGGGCAGUAAGUUUAUACCUUGCUGUUUUGACGUUACCAACAGAAUAAGCACCGGCUAACUUCGUGCCAGCCGCCGCCGUAA
RNAcentral lists this ribosomal RNA (500 nucleotides) under uncultured bacterium. RNAcentral's name for it is "partial 16S ribosomal RNA". It matches the Rfam family "Bacterial small subunit ribosomal RNA", at positions 30 to 523 of the family's 1533-position model. The record is from RNAcentral.